AACUCUUAGCGGUGGAUCACUCGCUCGUGCGUCGAUGAAGAACGCAGCUAGCUGCGAAACUAAUGUGAAUUGCAGGACACAUUGAUCAUCGACCUUUCGAACGCACCUUGCGCCCCGGUUCCUCCCGGGCUACGCCUGUCUGAGAGUCG
The sequence is a ribosomal RNA, 149 nucleotides long. It matches the Rfam family "5.8S ribosomal RNA". Rfam says of the family: 5.8S ribosomal RNA (5.8S rRNA) is a component of the large subunit of the eukaryotic ribosome. It is transcribed by RNA polymerase I as part of the 45S precursor that also contains 18S and 28S rRNA. Functionally, it is thought that 5.8S rRNA may be involved in ribosome translocation. The record is from Ensembl.